This 2354-nucleotide ribosomal RNA is filed under the name Staphylococcus aureus M1169. RNAcentral describes it as "bacterial LSU rRNA". It matches the Rfam family "Bacterial large subunit ribosomal RNA", at positions 565 to 2925 of the family's 2925-position model. The record is from RNAcentral. Lineage: Bacteria; Bacillati; Bacillota; Bacilli; Caryophanales; Staphylococcaceae.
UACAAGUAGUCAGAGCCCGUUAAUGGGUGAUGGCGUGCCUUUUGUAGAAUGAACCGGCGAGUUACGAUUUGAUGCAAGGUUAAGCAGUAAAUGUGGAGCCGUAGCGAAAGCGAGUCUGAAUAGGGCGUUUAGUAUUUGGUCGUAGACCCGAAACCAGGUGAUCUACCCUUGGUCAGGUUGAAGUUCAGGUAACACUGAAUGGAGGACCGAACCGACUUACGUUGAAAAGUGAGCGGAUGAACUGAGGGUAGCGGAGAAAUUCCAAUCGAACCUGGAGAUAGCUGGUUCUCUCCGAAAUAGCUUUAGGGCUAGCCUCAAGUGAUGAUUAUUGGAGGUAGAGCACUGUUUGGACGAGGGGCCCCUCUCGGGUUACCGAAUUCAGACAAACUCCGAAUGCCAAUUAAUUUAACUUGGGAGUCAGAACAUGGGUGAUAAGGUCCGUGUUCGAAAGGGAAACAGCCCAGACCACCAGCUAAGGUCCCAAAAUAUAUGUUAAGUGGAAAAGGAUGUGGCGUUGCCCAGACAACUAGGAUGUUGGCUUAGAAGCAGCCAUCAUUUAAAGAGUGCGUAAUAGCUCACUAGUCGAGUGACACUGCGCCGAAAAUGUACCGGGGCUAAACAUAUUACCGAAGCUGUGGAUUGUCCUUUGGACAAUGGUAGGAGAGCGUUCUAAGGGCGUUGAAGCAUGAUCGUAAGGACAUGUGGAGCGCUUAGAAGUGAGAAUGCCGGUGUGAGUAGCGAAAGACGGGUGAGAAUCCCGUCCACCGAUUGACUAAGGUUUCCAGAGGAAGGCUCGUCCGCUCUGGGUUAGUCGGGUCCUAAGCUGAGGCCGACAGGCGUAGGCGAUGGAUAACAGGUUGAUAUUCCUGUACCACCUAUAAUCGUUUUAAUCGAUGGGGGGACGCAGUAGGAUAGGCGAAGCGUGCGAUUGGAUUGCACGUCUAAGCAGUAAGGCUGAGUAUUAGGCAAAUCCGGUACUCGUUAAGGCUGAGCUGUGAUGGGGAGAAGACAUUGUGUCUUCGAGUCGUUGAUUUCACACUGCCGAGAAAAGCCUCUAGAUAGAAAAUAGGUGCCCGUACCGCAAACCGACACAGGUAGUCAAGAUGAGAAUUCUAAGGUGAGCGAGCGAACUCUCGUUAAGGAACUCGGCAAAAUGACCCCGUAACUUCGGGAGAAGGGGUGCUCUUUAGGGUUAACGCCCAGAAGAGCCGCAGUGAAUAGGCCCAAGCGACUGUUUAUCAAAAACACAGGUCUCUGCUAAACCGUAAGGUGAUGUAUAGGGGCUGACGCCUGCCCGGUGCUGGAAGGUUAAGAGGAGUGGUUAGCUUCUGCGAAGCUACGAAUCGAAGCCCCAGUAAACGGCGGCCGUAACUAUAACGGUCCUAAGGUAGCGAAAUUCCUUGUCGGGUAAGUUCCGACCCGCACGAAAGGCGUAACGAUUUGGGCACUGUCUCAACGAGAGACUCGGUGAAAUCAUAGUACCUGUGAAGAUGCAGGUUACCCGCGACAGGACGGAAAGACCCCGUGGAGCUUUACUGUAGCCUGAUAUUGAAAUUCGGCACAGCUUGUACAGGAUAGGUAGGAGCCUUUGAAACGUGAGCGCUAGCUUACGUGGAGGCGCUGGUGGGAUACUACCCUAGCUGUGUUGGCUUUCUAACCCGCACCACUUAUCGUGGUGGGAGACAGUGUCAGGCGGGCAGUUUGACUGGGGCGGUCGCCUCCUAAAAGGUAACGGAGGCGCUCAAAGGUUCCCUCAGAAUGGUUGGAAAUCAUUCAUAGAGUGUAAAGGCAUAAGGGAGCUUGACUGCGAGACCUACAAGUCGAGCAGGGUCGAAAGACGGACUUAGUGAUCCGGUGGUUCCGCAUGGAAGGGCCAUCGCUCAACGGAUAAAAGCUACCCCGGGGAUAACAGGCUUAUCUCCCCCAAGAGUUCACAUCGACGGGGAGGUUUGGCACCUCGAUGUCGGCUCAUCGCAUCCUGGGGCUGUAGUCGGUCCCAAGGGUUGGGCUGUUCGCCCAUUAAAGCGGUACGCGAGCUGGGUUCAGAACGUCGUGAGACAGUUCGGUCCCUAUCCGUCGUGGGCGUAGGAAAUUUGAGAGGAGCUGUCCUUAGUACGAGAGGACCGGGAUGGACAUACCUCUGGUGUACCAGUUGUCGUGCCAACGGCAUAGCUGGGUAGCUAUGUGUGGACGGGAUAAGUGCUGAAAGCAUCUAAGCAUGAAGCCCCCCUCAAGAUGAGAUUUCCCAACUUCGGUUAUAAGAUCCCUCAAAGAUGAUGAGGUUAAUAGGUUCGAGGUGGAAGCAUGGUGACAUGUGUAGCUGACGAAUACUAAUCGAUCGAAGACUUAAUCAA